Molecule: long non-coding RNA, 5595 nt
Organism: Hypanus sabinus (Atlantic stingray)
Lineage: Eukaryota; Metazoa; Chordata; Chondrichthyes; Myliobatiformes; Dasyatidae
Exons: 5
Source: RefSeq, a predicted model, not a curated record
AGCGCGCGCACGGACCGUCCGCUUCGUUUGGCUGCGAUCAGCGCCACCUGGGAGCGGCGCGGGGAGUUGCCGAGGAGUAAACAGAGCCCGGAGCGCCGGCCGACCGGGACCGGGACCGGGACCGGGACAACUCCACUGCGGAAUCUGGGAGUCUGAUCAAUCCACCGAACAAUGUUCCCCGCAACAGUGUCUCCAAAAGAUUCUUCCUAUCCCCCAAAUGACUUUGAAGAUGAGUAUCAAACCUGUGCCAUUUCUGCCAGUGGUUGUGCAUCCCAAGGCCCAUUGAUUUAACAGACCCAAACCGCUAAGUGGAUGGAAGUUGAAGGCCUUCCCAUUGAAGACCUUUGCAAUGAUGUUAAUGGUCUGUCAUGAAUAUUAAUGAGCAUCACCUACAUGCACCAAAGGCAAAUAGAAUAUUCUCACAUGGCAGAGUGAGAUCAAGCUUUGAGGAUGGAAACUUGUCUCAAGACGAUCCUGGACCAAGGGAGAAUACAAAAUUGUUUUGAAGGUCAAUUAGCAGAACAAAUGAACACACCUUCAAACAUUAAUUGAACGCAAGUAAAUAACCAGUAGUCUGAUGUUCAUUGCCAGGACUAUGAAAGUACAUCAGGAAGAAUGUACAGGAGCCUCAGGACUGGGUUUAGGAACAAUUAUUACCCCUCAACCAUCGGGCUCUUAAACCAAAGAGGAUAAUUUCACUCAACUUCACUUGCCGCAUCACUGAAAUGUUCCCACAACCUAUGGAUUCACUUUCAAAGACUCUUCACCUCAUGUUCACAAUAUUUAUUGCUUAUUUUGUUUUCCUUUGCACAUUGGUUCACGUCCUGUUGAUACAGUCUUUCAUUGAUUGUAUUGUGGUUAUUGGAGCUAUUCAGUAUGCCUGCAAAAAUGAAUCUUAGGGUUGUAUAUGGUGACAUAUAUGUACUUUGAUAAGAAAUUUGUUUUGAACUUUGAAGUAAUAUUCAUAACCUGAUUUCAUACAGUCCAUCUGUUUCUCAACCAGUUAAAACUAGCUUUGGUAAAGUAAAUGAGCAGUCAAAUCAAGCCACCAGUUUUAAGCAGUGGUGCAAAGCAAAGAAGCCUAAAGUGAGAAAUUAUAAAAUGAUAAUGGCCUUGAUAUGUCUUAAGUACCACUCGGUGUUAAAUCUGACUAGAUAUUCAUGCUUCUUCACUUUAUUUGGUAGAGAUUCCCUUGAUUUGCAAAGAAAGACAGGUGGUAAGUUCAAAGCCAGCUUGCUCUGCUAUGGCAAAAGCUUUCAACUUUAUUUUCUUCCACUUUCAUGUCUCCUUGAUAACUUUCUGAGUUGCUCUCCAGAUGGUGCAGAAUUCUUAUCUGUACACGGCCAGUGAAUUAUACACUAAUGCUACAUCACCAUGCAUGGAUUCUAAACCACAUUUCUGCUUUAUGGUUCUGCCAUGCUUUGCUACCUUCUAUGCUGCAACAGUCUCUAUAAAUCCCAUUUCGAGGCAUCCACCUUUUCAUUCUAUUUGAUGGUGAGCAAUUCCUGUCCUUUACUUCAUCCAUCAGUUGAUAAUUCUGGAAAUUUCUGAAUGAACUUUGAUAUCUUGUCAUAUGUCUUUUUAAAAAAAAUCUUCACAAGCCCCAGGAAUUCUGUGAUAUUGCUUUAGACAUCUCCUGUAACAAAUCCCUGUUUGCUGCUCAUCUCAGUAGCCUUAUUCACUAUACCCAUUUCUUUAAGUAGCAAUGACAUUGACUCUGCAUUAAUUUCAAAAAUGUUGUCUGUUGUAUCUCCUAUGAUUAAUUAACUUUAAGAUUAUUUAUGUUUUUCUACAAGACUUAAUAAUUCCUUGUUCAACAACUUGCUCAGAAUAACCUUUCCAUUCCAAGACCUUGACCCAGAAGAUUGGAAGUCAUAUACAAAAUGUUUCAGUACCAGUGAUCAAGAAAUAAAACCAUGAGUCCUACCGGAAGAGAGGAAGAUGAUAUGCCGGGAGAAAAUUGUUUCCUAUGUCAUAGUAUGAAGCAACAAAGCUGAAAAGCAACAGAUUAAUUUACAGUGAAUAAAACAAAAUUCCCACUUGAACCAACCUAUGUGAAAAAGAGCUGAAAUAUGAUCAAUGCAAUAUAAAUCUAUUUUAGAAUGUGACAAAAAAGAAAUAACAGUUGAACAUAGAGAACAGCUUAGAAAUUGUGAUUCCAUGUAUUUCAUAAUGUAGAAAACACCAACAUUUAUGCGAAGCAUUCGAGAAGAGAAUGAUUCAAUAACUGUAAUCCCUUCUGAAGAUCGAUGAAAAGCCAACAAAUUUAUGAAACACUGUAUACCUCAGAAAUUGAACUAUUGGGAGGUGACCUUCAGUCCUCCUUUGAUGUAAUCACUCAUGCAUUUUUAUCCCCAAGUUUUCUUUAUGCUUCCAGCAGCAUGAUCAUUAAACCCUCAGUUUUACCAGAUCAGUCAGUUCUCUAUUCAUUGUACACUCUACCCUUUGUUGCAAGUGUAACGUUGAAAUGUGUAUAUGCAAAAAGCUGUCAUACUGAAUUGAUCUGAAAAUGCCACUUCUGUUUUCGCUUAGUUUGAAGACUUUGAUGAGUAAAUUCAUAUUUACUCAUCCAUACUUACGUUUGCUUCUAUUGACUUUUGUAAGUCAAUAGAAAUGAAUGGCAACAAACAAUUGUUGAAUGAUAUCCUACAUACAUUUCAUACUGAUGCAUCUUCCCUCUUAACUUGAAGUGUUUUGGAAUCUUCAGCUGGGUACAUGUGGUGGAUAGUUUGCACACAUUCCUUCACAGCAUCCUCCAAGUGCUAACAUUAUUCCUGACCACUGGAUAAAACUAUUAGCAUCAUUCAUGAAGCUGCAUCAGAAUGACUUUUCCUUAUGCUGGAACAUUGACUUAGUGUCCUUAAGGAACCAACCUUAUGCAUGCCUGAAUCUUAUCCCAACAUGGUAACAAGCUGUUGCAUUGUGACUAUAGAACUGACCACAUGUUCUGGCAAUAAUCAAAUAUUUUCUGCCAUUAAUGUCUUGCAAGGAAAUGAAGCAACUGGCAACCAAGUUGUAACACCUAUACUUAAAUUGAAAUCAUGUGCAUUCAAUGUAAAUGCCAAUCUGUUCAUUUUCACUAAGGGUGGUGAAGGUAUACUUUAGCAUUCACCAAACAUAUCGUGCACAUAUGUGGCCAGGUCUGCAGUUCAAAGUUCUGGUUAUAUGAUUAAUUGUGAAACUUUGCCACUCUAUAGACAGUCACUAAACUUUGUCUCAUUGUGAGGAUAAUUUCCCUGUUUUGGCAUCCUUAUUGAUAUCUUAUAAUCUCCAUAUAUCCUGUGGGUAUUCUAAAUCUUCACUUCAGGAAUGAAUGGAGCAGCCUGAUCAGAAUAAACUGGUUCAGUGAUACUUGCUUCCAGUAGUCUCUUAAGCUCAUUUCCAACCUUGUUUUCCACUCACAGAUACAGGGUUGUAGCCCCACCUGAAGGAGAAUACUUGGAUUCCAACCUUAAUCAAUUCAGCUUCCAUCAUAGGUUACCCCACAGUACUUGUCAAGCACAGUUUCUUCAUGCUCUUGUUCUUUCUCAAGUUUACCUUUAUCUUUUCAAGUCAGUUCUAGCCUAUUCAAUUUGACCUCAUCCUGCAACAAUUAAAAAAGAGAGCUUCAUUUCACUUUCACUGCCUCUUACCCUAAAUAACUCUGUACAUCUGUAUCACCCAUCUUACUGCAAGUAUAAAGGAAGGUGAAAGACGCCUUGAGUCUCAUGCAUCACCUGACCAAUGUUAUUUAACUUCCAGCUCUCACAUCACUGAUUCUGAAGCACCAAUGUCAAUUGCUAUUUACAUUGUCUUUCCUUCAAUCCAGUCAAGCAUAUGGAAAGUUUCUGAUGAGUUCCAGUUUGAUGUAGUUAGUUCCUACAAUUUAUCAAGGCCACCACGUUAUUCGUCACAUCGGUAUGUUCACCACUCUACUGUUAUUCUCAUUAAGCAUUACAUGUGAUUGCUCAUUUUUGUCACAGUUUUGCUGUUCAGCAAACUGUUGACAGAUAUUCUUUCAUAUCUCAAUUAUUGCACACAGUCUGUAUGUGCCCACACGCACUGCCUGUCAGCCUUCUACUGCCACAUUGAUCGGACUUCACUUUUUCCAGAAAGUUAAACAUUGAGGCUUUGCUGGGCAAUGUUGUAAAUACCGUGUAAUCUUGGCAGUAUCCUUCAUUGCCUAGGCAAUAUCAACUAACUGCUUGAAACCACAUUUUUUUUCUUAUUGAGCAGUCUCCAUGGAGGGCACACAUCCACAAGCUGUGCACUUCCUCAACUCCCUCACUCCAGAUUUGCCCCACUCACAGUGGUCCACAGCAAUGUCCCCAACAGUUUCUCCUGGAUGUCCAUUCAGGUUUUUAAAUUCAUAUUGUUGCAUUACAGAACAGGGAUUUUGAGAUAUUAUUGAUAUUCAGUUGUCUGCAGAUGUCUUAUUUCAUGGCUUGGCUGGAGCCAAAGUUUUUAAAUCAACUUGAAUAUCCUAGUACUUAGGGAUGUGAGCAAAUUGUUUGACCCCUUUUGUUCUACAACAUUAUUUACAAGUUUCACCCUUUCUACAUACAAUCCAAGCUUUAACUGAACUAUUGGAAAAAUUCCCAAAUAACUUCUGUAUCAUGUUGACAUAAGGUUUGUCUUAAACCCAACCCAGGCUUGAUAUCUCAUGAAAGGCAAGCAUCACUUCUUUCUCUAAUCAUCUUAGAUCUUUCGUUAUUUUCUCAUUGGUUAUCUAGAUGGCAUAAUUCAACAUCAAAUAGAAGACACUGACAGUCCAACGGUUUCCACUUCAUGCUGCUGUGUGGGUGCCAUUAUCUCAUGCCAUGUUCAACCACAAGAGGGAGUUGAACAGUGGAACCAUUGCCUAUCAUUUCUUAAAAUCAUCUUCAGUGUGUUAUAGAACAACACAUGGAGGGUGUUUAAUUGGUGAGGCUCUACUCUGUGCUGUCCCCACAUUUAAGGUUAUAAAUGAGGUAAAACUGAGACCUUCAUAAUAUUUUGCAACUUUAACCAUUCGGCCCCCACUUUCACUACUUUCUGAGGAGGCUGAGAAAGUUGGAUCAUGCACAUCUAUACUCACAUCAUUCUACAGAAGUACAGUAGAGAGCAUCCUAACAAGUUGAAUUACUGCAUGGAAUGGAAACUGCAUUGCAGCAGAGAGGAAGGCUCUGCAACUGGUAGUCAAAACUGCCCAAUGCAUCACCGGCAUCAGUCGACUCACCAGCAAGGACAUAUAUAGAGAAAGAUGCCUGAAAAAGUGUCAGUAAUGUCAUGAAGGAUCCCACUCUCCCAGCUCAUUGAUGUUUCCCCACUCCUGUCGGGACUGAGGCUAUGUAGCAUCUAUGUCAGGACCACCAGACUCAAAAUCAGAUGCUUUCCCCAAGCAGCAAGACUGAUCAAUACCUCCACCCACUAACCCACCACGACCACCACUAUUUUGUCACUUCCUGUCAGUCACCUAAUGUACACUCUUGUAUCUAGCAACACUUUAUGGAUAUAAAAUCAAUCUAUCUAUAUAAGCUAUCUUAAGUAUUUAUAUUUAUUGUGCUCUUUAUCUUAUUGUGUAUUUUUUGCCCUACAGUAGAUCCAUAAUAACUAUUGUUUGAUUCUCCUUACAUU